Long non-coding RNA from Fukomys damarensis (Damara mole-rat), 4200 nucleotides. RefSeq lists it as uncharacterized. The record is from RefSeq and is a predicted model, not a curated record. The transcript has 3 exons. Lineage: Eukaryota; Metazoa; Chordata; Mammalia; Rodentia; Bathyergidae.
UAGAAAAAGUUGUAUUUCAAGACCGUUUUAAAUAUAUGCACUGAUUAAAACAUUUGCAAAGACUGUCUAGUCAAGUAGUUUUCGUUUGACUUUCUCUAGAGCAAAAAUUUCAGAGUUUGUGCCUUUAACUCAGGACCGGACUAAAUUUAAUAUUGAAUUAACAGGUCAUUUGUUAUUUAAUGAUGUAAAGUUCCAGUAAAAAUCACGGCUUACGGUACCUUAAAAUAUACUUAACACAACAUUUUGAAAGGUAGAGCUCUUAUUUUCCUUCAUGGGCACUUACAAAUUAUAGUUGAAUGAGUGCGUGAAUAUAAAUAGGCCUUUUCUCCUGACGAGAGGCGUUACCCUCGACCUGGACCCCUUCCUGCUCAAGUAAUUACCCCAAGCCUUUUAAAAUGAUCCUGAAGUUCUAAUUAGACACAAUCUUCUUUGCUUCCUAUUGUAAACUGCUGCCUUGAGUGCUGGUCUGAGGUGGGUUUCAAAGCCAUUGCCCUUCCCCCAGCAUCCUGAAGGUGCUGUGACUGCUAAUUACUACCCCCAAUACUUCAGCACCGCAGGGUCUGAAAGGGGGCCACGGAAUUGCAGCGUCUUACUGUCUUCUCCACCACUUCCCAAGGCCUGUGCAGCUUGGCGAAGUAAAGCCGAGAAGGGAAAGUCGACAUGUCUGGACAGCCACGGUGCAUAUCGCCGUACUACUGCGGGUCCCCCCGCCCCCGAAUAUUGCUCUAGGUCCUACUGGGCCAGGAAGGAGGGAGCUUGGAGCCAGAUGCUGAAUCAGUUUGCAAGUGUGAAUGAUUAUGUUAUUAACAGUUUACUGGAGAAGGACAGCACCUGCAACUGUGAAUCAUCUUAAUCAACUUAAUAGACUGUUUUAAAAUCGGUGCAAUGAAAGGAACACCAAGCCCGACAGAAUGUGCCCGAAAUGAAACAGUGUGGAACAGAAUCGUGAAAUGUGCAUGUUCACAAACUGACGGUGAAUUCUCUACAAUGCUUUCUCGUGGCAGCUAUUCGAACAUAAGCUACGAUGUCCUGGAAUAUCCUCUGAACAUUCCUGGGAAUAUACACAAUCAGCAUGCAAUUCCUAUGUUGAUGCUACUUUAGGCCACACCUGAGCUGUCCGAAGCCCAUUCACCCCGUGGCCUCCGGCCGGCUCGGAAGCUCUCUCCCUGGGUGCUGUGUGAGAGACAGCCCUGUUGUUCCUCAGCUCACUGACCCCGUGGCCAGCAGGUCUCAUACUUGACCACAGUGAGAUGAAGCGACCAUCGCAGAGCUGUGUAAGCCGGCUUCCUCCUUUACCUGUGCCUCCUCCAAACUAACACAGCCAGCACCUCUUACAGGAAGCCUCAAAGGGCUUACUACAAGGAGGAAGAGACAAGAAAAGCAAAGACCUUCCAACCCUGCCCUGGAAAAUUCCGGAAUCCCAAACAGUGACCUGUGCACAGCAAAUCCUCCGGUAAGAUCUACAGUAACAUGCUCUCCCCCAGAGACCAAGGUUCGAAUAUAUGGAAGACAUUUCAUUCCUCCUAUUAUAACAGAGCGAAUUAUGGGAAAGGACAUGCGUAGGUAGGGAUGACACCGCUCACAGUCAGUCAUGUUUCCAGUCCUGCACCAAAGACCCAAGAGGAGGCACCCAGACCCUGCAACAUUUUGAACCCCCACAGCUCAUGCCAUUUUCCUCUUGCACCCUGGGCAUAAUCACUCUAACCAAGCACUCACCGUAAUAAACUUCGCAGCUUUUCCCUCACCAUUGCUUGCCACAACCAAUUCUUUGUUACAUACAAGAAUCCAGGAACCUGUCCCGGACCCCUUCACUCAUGAUAACAAAUCCACAUUCAUACCACUUUUAUAAAAUAAUUUUGAACAUGUCUGAUGAAAUUCUAAGCGCAGUGAGAGGGAAAAGAUAAUUUUAAAAAUAAUAUAAACUACAGACACAGUCGUCUCACCUGAAGUAAGAGGCUAGAUAACAGUGGAAUCAUUCUUUUAUCGGGGAGAGAAAAUAAUUGCCAACCUGCAAUGUCUAGCUGAGCCAUUGUCCAAGAGACAGCGAAAUGACACUAUUUGUAUAGAAAGACUGAGGGGUACUCUCAAAACCUUGUAUCAAGAAAUUUAAAUCCAGAAUGGUGUGUGGCACAAUGGUAACAUAGAAACAAACAUUGAUAAGCAUAUGAGUAAGUAAGAACUAAGCGGUGAUUGAUGGGUUAUUAUAAAAGAAGCCCAACGACUCAUUCAGGGAGAUAUAAGCAAGAUGAAAGUAAAAUAAUUGCCAGUGAUAAGCUGUCAGGAGAGAACAAACAUUUCAGUUCCAUUUCAGUUACACUCCUGCUAAGAAGGGAGCUAUGAUCGGAAUAUUAUUUUGCCUCACCUGAUAAAAUCUCCACUCCGCUCUACCUGCCCUCUGCCCUGGAAGGUGAUGUGAAUGGAAACCAUUGUUACAGCCCUGAGCCUGGGCUUCUGCUUCAGAGAGAAAUCAGGUGUAUAUGUUGCCCUUUCUGUGUGCCUGUGAUUCAUCGAGGAUCAGCUGCUCCCCCCGCCCCUCUGCAGAGAAGCGAAUUACACAUGAAUCCCAGUGCUGGUCAUCGUGGAAAAGACUCACUUUUUCACAGAUAAAAAUUAUAGAUGUUGGGGUUUGGGGAGAAAGCAAAAACAAAACACAAAAACCUAAGGCUAAAAAGCAAAACUCAGUUCCCUGAAAGCACUGGAAAGUAGAAAGGAGACAGAAAGUGUAAGAAAUGAAGUUCUUGAGAGAAGUGCGUUUACCCCUACAAUUUCCUGGCCUUUCCUCUCUGACCUCUUGUAGUUCUCAGUCAGUGGGGGAGGCAGAGUACUACCUGGAAGGACCACGGCUCUGGGCCUUCCAGAGAGACUUGCAGUAAGGAAGAGAACAUACUCUAAAGGAGGGCACUUUGAAAUGUACACAUUGUCCCCCUUAAACUGUUAGCAGACUCCUAAGUCUUCUCAGGGCAAGACCUGGAGAAAAUGGAAGAAAUGAAAAUAAGGGAGCUAAGAAAGGAUUUCAGCAGCGGUGGCCACAGAGUUUAGAGUUCAAGUUCUCCUAAGCUUCAGAAGCACUGAAACCAUGUUAGCAUUUAACUGGGACUCCAAAAAUCCAUGUGCUAAGUUGGGGCAAAAUUAGGAUACACCAGAUAUUACAAACCCUUUAGAGCAAGGUCUGCAAGCUCAGUAAGAUAAAAGUGGAAAUCUCAAAUCCUUCUACGAGAGUACAGAGCCAAAGGAAUUGAAAUCAGAUGUUGAAUAGUUCUCCAUGUCUGUUCACUGAACCACUUGUCACAAAAGCCAAGGUGGACAAGCAGUCUAAAUGUUUAGAUCAAUGGAUGAAGAAAAUAUGGUAUCUGCUCACAGUGGAAUACUCUUUAGCCUUAAAAAAGUGGAGCCUGCCAUUUGUGACAACAUGGACGAACCUGGAAGUCAUUAUGCUAAGUGAAAUAACUCAGUCAUAGUAGGGAAAAUGCCAUGUACAUUCUCUUAUAUGUACAUUCUAAAAUUAUCAAACCCCCAGAGAUGGAGACACAAAGCUGGUGUCCAGGGUGUAGGAGGUGGGUGAAAUGGGAGGGGUUAGUCCAAAGGUACAAACUUUUAUUUACAAGAUAAUAAAUAUCUGGAGAGUAAAUGUACAACUAGGCAACUAUGGCUAAUAAGUGAUGUGCAUUAAAUAUUUCAAAUGUGCUAAGCGAAUAGAUCUUAUGCGUUCCCAUCAGACACACACAUACGCACACACACACCCUUACUGAAAGGUAGGUGUACGAGGUGAUAGAUGUGUUAAUCAGCUUAAUUAUGGUAAUCACAAUGUACACAUAUGUCAAGACAAUACGUUUGACAUACUAUGAUUACAAUGUAAUAGAAAUAUCUGAUCUCUUGCCCUGUACAUCUCUUCCAUCUGGCUAUUCAUCUUGAUGCACUUUGCAGCCUUCAUUAGUGAAGCAUAAAUGUCAAUAAAAUGUUUCCCUGGAUUCUGUGAGCUCCCCCAGCAGGAGAAAUAGAUGGAAGAGAAAGUGGCAGGAGGCUCAGGUCACAACCUGGGCCCCACGACUGACAUCUGAGUCACAACAGACCCCACCCUCACCUGUGAGCAUGACAGUCUCAGAAUCAGAGUGACUUAGAGGACACCCAGCUGGUACCUGCUGCAGAAAUACCCAGUGUGGGGAAAUCCCCCGCACUUCUGUCAGAAGCAUUCAUGUGAAU